AGGACUCUGUCCAAUUCUGUCUCUAAACUCAAUAUGUGCAGUGGUGCCAUUAAGGCUUCGUUUGGGAUUGCGGGGAGUUGCGUUACGUUUAGAAAAAUACUAUAUUUGUUUCUGUACGUAAUAUUGUGUUCAGUAUAUCGCGAUGAGUCGAUAUAUUUUGAAUGCAGAAGCAUAUCCCUAUAUGCUUUUUACUAAACUCUAUUUUAUCUAAUAGCGUUAGAUAAGUCUCAAUACCAAACUAAGCCUAUAAGUGACCUGCGAUAAAUUUGUUAGUAAUGAGGGAUUAACAUGCAAUUGCUUUU
RNAcentral lists this long non-coding RNA (302 nucleotides) under Ananas comosus (pineapple). RNAcentral's name for it is "long non-coding RNA (ACOM_LNC011293)". Lineage: Eukaryota; Viridiplantae; Streptophyta; Magnoliopsida; Poales; Bromeliaceae. The record is from RNAcentral.